AGUGAACGCUGGCGGUAGGCCUAACACAUGCAAGUCGAACGGCAGCACAGUAAGAGCUUGCUCUUACGGGUGGCGAGUGGCGGACGGGUGAGGAAUACAUCGGAAUCUACUUUUUCGUGGGGGAUAACGUAGGGAAACUUACGCUAAUACCGCAUACGACCUACGGGUGAAAGCAGGGGAUGUUCGGACCUUGCGCGAUUGAAUGAUCCGAUGUCGGAUUAGCUAGUUGGCGGGGUAAAGGCCCACCAAGGCGACGAUCCGUAGCUGGUCUGAGAGGAUGAUCGGCCACACUGGAACUGAGACACGGUCCAGACUCCUACGGGAGGCAGCAGUGGGGAAUAUUGGACAAUGGGCGCAAGCAUGAUCCAGCCAUACCGCGUGGGUGAAGAAGGCCUUCGGGCUGUAAAGCCCUUUUGUUGGGAAAGAAAAGCAGCAGGUUAAUACCCCGCUGUUCUGACGGUACCCAAAGAAUAAGCACCGGCUAACUUCGUG
This 492-nucleotide ribosomal RNA is filed under the name uncultured bacterium. Its description in RNAcentral is "partial 16S ribosomal RNA". It matches the Rfam family "Bacterial small subunit ribosomal RNA", at positions 29 to 507 of the family's 1533-position model. The record is from RNAcentral.